CCUACGUGAUGCAGCAGUGGGGAAUAUUGGACAAUGGGCGAAAGCCUGAUCCAGCCAUGCCGCGUGUGUGAAGAAGGCCUUCGGGUUGUAAAGCACUUUCAGUGGGGAAGAAAGCCUUGGGGCUAAUACCCUCGAGGAAGGACAUCACCCACAGAAGAAGCACCGGCUAACUCCGUGCCAGCAGCCGCGGUAAUACGGAGGGUGCGAGCGUUAAUCGGAAUUACUGGGCGUAAAGCGCGCGUAGGCGGUCUGAUAAGCCGGUUGUGAAAGCCCCGGGCUCAACCUGGGAACGGCAUCCGGAACUGUCAGGCUAGAGUGCAGGAGAGGAAGGUAGAAUUCCCGGUGUAGCGGUGAAAUGCGUAGAGAUCGGGAGGAAUACCAGUGGCGAAGGUGGCCUUCUGGACUGACACUGACGCUGAGGUGCGAAAGCGUGGGUAGCAAACAGGAUUAGAUACCCCGGUAGUC
Molecule: ribosomal RNA, 465 nt
Filed under: Vreelandella stevensii
Lineage: Bacteria; Pseudomonadati; Pseudomonadota; Gammaproteobacteria; Oceanospirillales; Halomonadaceae
Description: partial 16S ribosomal RNA
Rfam family: Bacterial small subunit ribosomal RNA
Source: RNAcentral